GGAUUGGUGGUUCAGUGGUAAAAUUCUCCUCUUUCACAAGAGAGACCCGGAUUCAAUUCCUGGCCAAGGCA
RNAcentral lists this transfer RNA (71 nucleotides) under Loxodonta africana (African savanna elephant). It matches the Rfam family "tRNA". Rfam says of the family: Transfer RNA (tRNA) molecules are approximately 80 nucleotides in length. Their secondary structure includes four short double-helical elements and three loops (D, anti-codon, and T loops). Lineage: Eukaryota; Metazoa; Chordata; Mammalia; Proboscidea; Elephantidae. The record is from Rfam by way of RNAcentral.